CUAACCAAGGUUGUGACGGGUAACGGGGAAUCAGGGUUCGAUUCCGGAGAGGGAGCUUGAGAAUUGGCUACCACAUCCAAGGAAGGCAGCAGGCGCGCAAAUUACCCAAUUCAGACAGUGAGAGGUGGUGACGAGAAUUACCAAGUGGUGACCAUAAGGUUGCCAAUUUGGAAUGAACGUAAUUUAAGAAAUUCGAUGAGUAACAACUGGAGGGCAAGUCCGGUGCCAGCAGCCGCGGUAAUUCCGGCUCCAGUAGCGUAUUUUAAAAUUGUUGCGCUUAAAACGCUCGUAGUUGGAUGACACAGUCAUGAUCAGUUGAUUGUCAUGGUUAUACAUUAAACUUUGACUCUCUACUGUAGAUGUCUAACGACGUAUAUGGUGUUGAGUUGAAAGUAUAACUAUGGCAAUUGUGUGCUGAAUGUGACUAGUUGCACGUGAGGAUGAUGGUUGACCUUUAGUGCGUUGACUGUUAUGUCUCACGGAGUGUGCCUUGAAUAAAUCAGAGUGCUCAAAGCAGGCUUUAAGCUUGAAUGUUAAUAGCAUGGAACGAACAAACGUGUUUAUGUAUAAUAUAAUUGAUUUUGAUUUGUCUAUGAUAGAUUAUUGUGUUUGUGUUAUACUGCACCAACCACCAAUAACGGACGUUGGUUCCGUAUUGGGGUGAUGAUUAAAAAGAGCGGUUGGGGGCAUUGGUAUUUGUCCGCGAGAGGUGAAAUUCUUGGACCGGACAAGGACUAACAAAUGCGAAGGCAUUUGCCUAGACCGUCUCUAUUAAUCAAGAACGAUAGAGGAAGGAUCGAAGAGGAUCAGAUACCCUCGUAGUUUCCUCCGUAAACUAUGCCAACCCGGGAUGAGUUUAGAGCUAAUUAUAACGCUCUAGGUUGGUCCCCCUGGGAAACCUGAAGUUUUUCGGUUGCGGGGGGAGUAUGGUUGCAAAGCUGAAACUUAAAGGAAUUGACGGAAGGGCACCACCAGGAGUGGAGCCUGCGGCUUAAUUUGACUCAACACGGGAAAACUUACUCGGUUCGGACAUUGACAGGAUAAACAGUUUGAUAGAACUUUUUUGAUACGGUGAAUGGUGGUGCAUGGCCGUUUUUAGUUCGUGGAGUAAUCUGUCAGGCUAACCCCGGUAACGAACGAGAUCAGCGUCUCCAUUUGGGGUGUACAAGAAAUCUAUGGGUAGUGCUGCAUUGUUUCGACAGUGUCGCAUUUAUUGAUAGUUAGAGGCUGUGUGGGUGUGCUGUUGCCGAUGGUAAUGUCAACUCGUUAAAAGGUUGAUAUUGCUUAAGGUGACUGUUUAGCUUGCACUCCCUUGUACCAAACAGUAUAUAGUGUAAACUGUAUGCUGUCUCAUGGAGAGACGGGUGGAUAUAAUCAAACCACAGGACGGCUGGCAAAAACAGGUCUGUUAUGCCCU
This 1417-nucleotide ribosomal RNA is filed under the name Henneguya nuesslini. Its description in RNAcentral is "SSU rRNA". It matches the Rfam family "Eukaryotic small subunit ribosomal RNA", at positions 340 to 1473 of the family's 1831-position model. Lineage: Eukaryota; Metazoa; Cnidaria; Myxozoa; Bivalvulida; Myxobolidae. The record is from RNAcentral.